GCCUUCGUGGUGUAAUGGUCAAGCACACUCGGCGCGUAUUCGAGAGGUUCGUGGUUCGAGUCCCGACGAGGGCA
Non-coding RNA from Stegodyphus mimosarum, 74 nucleotides. The record is from Rfam. Lineage: Eukaryota; Metazoa; Arthropoda; Arachnida; Araneae; Eresidae.